UGGAGAUUGCAGCGCGGCUGAAGGGAUUUUGGAAGAACAAAGAGGAACUACAGAAUCAUUGCUUACAUUGACACAAUUGAAUGGGAAGCCAUCAUUCUUUAAAGGGCAAUGACCAAGCAGUACCAGCAGAAAUUGAAGUACCAGCAGAAGGCUAAGAAGGGAUCAUGGCACAAGUUGCAGUUUCCACCCUGCCCAUUGAAGAUGAGGAGUCCAUGGAAGAUGAGGAGUCUGUUGAAGACGAGGAGUCCGUUGAAGAUGAGUCCGCGGAGAGCAGGAUGCUGGUGACAUUGCUCAUAUCAGCUCUUGAGUCCACGGGAGCUUACAGCUUCAUUGCACCAUGUGUGGCAUUUGGGUCCUGUUUGGCAGCAAUGACUGCCUUUCUGUUUAGUGUCUGUGUGCUAUGAAGAUUGCAAACGGGGUCCAGAUGCAUUCUGUUUUGAGAAUGUCA
RNAcentral lists this long non-coding RNA (448 nucleotides) under Homo sapiens (human). RNAcentral's name for it is "non-protein coding lnc-ANKRD20A8P-12:3". The record is from RNAcentral. Lineage: Eukaryota; Metazoa; Chordata; Mammalia; Primates; Hominidae.